Molecule: ribosomal RNA, 253 nt
Filed under: uncultured bacterium
Lineage: Bacteria
Description: partial 16S ribosomal RNA
Rfam family: Bacterial small subunit ribosomal RNA
Source: RNAcentral
UACGUAGGGGGCAAGCGUUGUCCGGAAUCAUUGGGCGUAAAGCGCGUGUAGGCGGCCCGAUAAGUCCGCUGUGAAAGUCCAGGGCUCAACCCUGGGAUGCCGGUGGAUACUGUCGGGCUCGAGUCCGGAAGGGGCGAGUGGAAUUCCUGGUGUAGCGGUGAAAUGCGCAGAUAUCAGGAGGAACACCAAUGGCGAAGGCAGCUCGCUGGGACGUGACUGACGCUGAGACGCGAAAGCGUGGGGAGCAAACAGG